UAUUUUUGGAAUAAGGGAUUGGGGGAGGUGAAGAAAAAAAUUGGGAGGGGUGGGGGUAAAAAUUUUCUCAUUUCAGAUUUCAGAAAUUAAAAAGAAUUUUUCUUUAAAUAUUUUUUUUGGAGGGGAUUUAGAUUCAACAGCAUAGUGUAUUGCUCAAAAGCCAAAUUUUUUUUUAAAGUUCAUUAGACCACAUUCAUUCUGUGUUAGAAACCUUUGCUGUGUCAAUUAUUUAAUCACAAUCCAAAUUCAGAGCUGUAUUAAAGCUUGAAUGUUGUGUCCAUACUUGCCCCAACUGCGCACUGCGGAGCAUCUGGUUUUAAUUUUAGCCAUGAUUAUGAUGUAAUUUUCUAUUUUAAUACUUUUAUGAUGUAUUUAAAUGGGCUUUUAUGGUUACAAAUUCCAUUGGAAAG
RNAcentral lists this long non-coding RNA (410 nucleotides) under Mytilus galloprovincialis (Mediterranean mussel). The record is from RNAcentral. Lineage: Eukaryota; Metazoa; Mollusca; Bivalvia; Mytilida; Mytilidae.